Pomacea canaliculata is the source of this 4304-nucleotide long non-coding RNA. RefSeq lists it as uncharacterized. The record is from RefSeq and is a predicted model, not a curated record. Lineage: Eukaryota; Metazoa; Mollusca; Gastropoda; Architaenioglossa; Ampullariidae. The transcript has 2 exons.
CCGAAAUCGUCGUCAGCACUGGCCAUUUCUGGAAGUUCUCAGCCCUCGACUACGAGAUUCGGCAACAUCCGGAGAAGGGAAGUAUCCAGUCUCUGACGGACUUAGACAGCAGACUGGAAAGUCUUUAUGAGCGAAUGAACAAGUUUGAGAAAGAGUUAUUUGACAAUGUGGACUCCAUUCUUAGCAUACUCGGCCAAAAGCCCAAGGUUACAAGAGAAGCGACUGACACAGUUGCAUACCCGGGUGCCAGAGGAGAUCCAACUCGACCAGCGGGGCCAGAACUCUCUAAAUCAUUCAGCGAAACUGAAUGCACCACUAAAAGCUUGAAAGAAUAAUAAAGUCCGGUCCAAGACACUUUAUAAUACUGAACACUUAAUUUAUUAAAUAUUUAUUGACUAUUUUGCAUAACUGAUUUAUUACUUAGAUACGGUAUUGUUACCAAGGGUCCAUUUUUACGUUUUACCCCAUUUUUUAGUAGUUGAAUCUCAUGAGUGAUUGAAUUCCACUUCUUCAGCCUGUACAUAAUUCGCGUUUAGUUAACUUGAAUAUAACUGUAGUUGAAUGCAACUUCAGCACAUUUUUUCUGCAAAACACGGUCAUUUCGACAAGGAUAAGCACUGAACAGUCAAGCAAUAGUGUUCGAGAUAUCUAAUCACUUUAUACGACUAAAUUAUGUUAUACUCCGCAGUAAUGACAGGUUUUGUGGGGUCAGUGUUGUGUAUUCAAGUCAAACUCCGAAGUAUUAAUUCCGUUUUCUUAUAUAGAAUGAAGCGGAGUUUUUCUUUUUUUUAAUUUUGAGAAUGCAAGCGUUGUGAACAGACCUUAGAAAGAUGACCAAGUGAACAUGAAACCACAAUCAAAAUAAAAAAACGUAUUUUUACUUUGACAUUACUUAAAAAUAAUGUGUUUAUUCCACAACUGGUUGUGUGCUUUUCGGGAAGAUAAAGACAUCCAAAGCACUCAUAUAUUUUGCCAACUGCCCCAUAGAAGUAGUGUUACAUAACUGCUGUCGGCAGUCUCAGACUGUAUACUCACACCUGUCAGGUACAACACUUCUGUGGAGGUGACAUAAACUCAGUGUAACGAACAGGUAUGUGAGUCUUUUGAGAAGAAAGUCUUGAGGUAAUCAUAUCACGUUUCAGUUUUUUCUGAUAAUAGACUACUGAACGUAGGUAAAUAUUGUAAGACUGAAAUAUUGAGAUGGGACAACACACUUUAAGAUAAGCUUUAAGCAAUGAGAUAACAUGGCUUGGACAAAACACACUUUGCAAUCAGUCCACAAAUCUCCACAAUGGCGUCAGGUGUAGGAAUCAGUCAAAGGCACUAUUUCUCGCGUGCUCUAGCAUCCGUUUGGAAGUGAUGUGACAAUGUGUGGGAAUAAUCUAGCUAGGGAUGUUGUUUACUAACCUUUUUUAAUUCCUUUGCUUUUUAUGAAAAGCAAUCGUUUUGCGAGUGUGUAAUCACGUGACCAUGACGUCACACAGUAAGCGUUUGUACAAGCAGCGCGUGAAUUUAGUAAUAAUCAUCAACAUCCCUAAACAUCUCGACAACAAUGUCGUCGCCUCUGUCUAUUGACAACGCCAGCGUAGAUAUCUGGUCGCCAUGGCUACCAGGUGUGGUCACCACACUGUCCAGACGUGUUCUGAAGACGUCCUUUUGCUGUCUUGAAAUCCGAUCCAUGAACACAAGGGCCUCUUGUGGGUUCUUGUCCAGUUUGGCGAGUUGUGGGAACAUGCAAGCGAGCGAGGUUCCAGGUUCGCCUCUCAUCGUUGCAAGUUCUGAGUGGGUAUCCCCCACCUCCAGUCAUUACUAACUACACUUUUGCACUGAGCUGACUUCCACCGCCACGUGUACAGAGCACUGUCAUUGUCGAGCUGAAAAUACAGAGUUUGGACCUAAACCAACAACUCAAUGUGCAUCAGAAGGAAAACAAAUCCCUGUAUAUCAUCAUCCUUACAGUGUACACGAUGUGUAUGGUUGUACGUGUGACUUUCGUGGAGGUUUCGGCGUGUAUACUGCUGUUUCAGGACAAAAACAUGUACUGGAAUCCAUUCCCUGUUGUUUUGGUUUGCUGUCGUAAAAAGUAUGUUUUUUGUUCACCUGUACUGUUAAAGUUUAUUACUUGUAUAAAUAACUGCGUUUACUGACAAUCACAAUAAAUAAGCUUGUGUACGUUGAAGAACGUAGUAAAAGUGACAAAUGUUUCUUGUCUUUCUCCAGACCCUACUUCCCACCCUACUGGCUUCAGUUGCCUACAAGUUUUCCUCAUUUUGGGUUUUAUCCAAAGCUGUAGGAAAUGUUGUUAAUCGAGUCUUCUUAUUUUUAGAGGAUUUGUCCAAACCUAUACGUUCAUCAAAAAAUGUAAACUAAAGUCCCAAGAUUAUAAAAAUAUAGUUUUUAACCGUUUUAAGUACAGCUUAGCCUUGGUUGCAACAGAAUAAUUAAGAAAGAUAUUUAAAUCUUGGCUAAGUGAAUAGUUACUGUCCGAAGUUCUACCAAAAUUGAUGUAGUUUAUUUAAGUAAUUAAGCUUCAAAAGUGUCGUUUUCGCAAAUGUUGCUUCCUUACUUCUGUCCCAUUUUUGUAAUAUAUCAAAUAUCCUUCCAUUGAGCCCGUGACAAGCUACAGCACUUUAGUCUGUUUGCCAUUUAGUGUAUCGUUUAAUGUCUGUAUUUACUGUAAAGUUCUGUGCGCCAUUUUAAUUGUAAUUUGUGUGCAAUACUUCGUGAUGUUGUGUCAUUUCACAUUAUUUUGUGAUGAUUUUGAGAACAGUCUGAUUCUGUACCACGUCGCACACAGAUGUCUUCUGCAUUGCUUGCCACUGCUAUUUUGCACAGAGAAAGCUUGUUUAGUCUGCUACUCGAUUUCUGUUCCUGGAUGUAGAAUUACUUGUACAAUUUCAUGCCUUAACCUGAGUGUCUCUAUGAAUCGAUGUUUUGCUGACAUGUAUUUUUUUCUUUUUUUCUUUUUUUUUUUUUUUUGUCCUAAACUGCCGCCAAUUUACAACAGUCAACGAGGGAGAGGAGAUGAUCACCGCCCUCACAAAAAAACAUUUAAGUGUGGACUUCGAUCCUUAGCUCCUCACCCACUUUUAUCUUUUAAUCGUCGAAAGUUCAAGUCUGAAUGCAGACAGAAUUAAGCAGUAUUCUAAAUUAGGCUAUAGUUCAGCAAGAUACAUUAUAAAUCCGUUUUCUCGUUAGUGGACAAAAACUGAAUAAGGAAAAACAAAACUCGUGCUAUCUCGGGUAGCUUCAAUCCUGUACACAACUUACGUCAGCAGAGCAGAAUGUAACCGAAAAAGUAACGUCCAAAAAAUAUUGUAUCUACCUGUCACACCUUGGCUGGUUAGAAGAGUCAUUAAUCAUUCCAUGAGAGCAACUUUUUUUUUUAAACAGAAAUCGAAACGAUUUUAAUUGCUCAACUUCCACGCACAAACGGAGGGUUUGCAAGGGAAACUACCUUCAGUAAUUAAUCCUCGUCCAGAUCGAGUUGUAGCCCUUGAUUGAUAGCACAAAUCUACGUGUUGGAGUAUUUCUCUUCAAAUUUGCCGAAGUGAAUUUCAACAGCCUUAGGUUCUUCCCGUAAAUAUGUUGGUUUUUUAUGUGGGCUUGUUGUUUACUGUAUUUGUGCUGUUAGAAACUUCUGCUCACACUAUCUGGUAGAGGCUACACGUGUAUUACACGUCCGUGGUUAUACACACCACGUGACUGCUAUUCGAAUAGAUCUGUGGCUGGCUGGAAGGUGAGCGCAAGCAAUAUAUGGAAUACUAACGGCAGCUUGUAAUAGUUUCCGCUUUGUCACGAAUGGUAACCAGUACAUUGUUUACAUUGUUUACAUUGUUUACUCUCAAAGUACAUGACAACAUACCUACAGGACGCUUGGUGCCAGCUCUGCCACCUGGCUGCCCAAAGAACCUGUCUCUGACAUUCGCUGCCAACACCUCUUCGUUGAAAUAUUCCGAAGUUUACAUGUACCAUAAUCUUUUGCGAAGCCGCUCCAACCCCUUCAACGAAAUGUGAGAGGCUUGGAUCAAAGGUUUAUAAAGCAAACAGUGAUUUCAUGUGGCCAAAGGUAGGUUCUUUAUCUCCAUGUAGCACGAUUGAGCCCCUGAGGCACAUACCAUGACAUGAUGCGUGUCAUAAUGUAAUAAAGUACAGCAUGUCAUGACAAAUGUUGAUGCAUGUUGUGUUUCGCGCAUCAGUGUUUCACAGAAUGGACCUAACGGUCGCCAUGUCCGACAUUGAAUGUACAUCGAAAUAAAUGUUAAACUGUGAUAAACAACAGGCAAUAAACUUUUCGGAUAUUC